GUUGCUGAAUUCGGCCACUGGGAUUACUACAACGGACUGCCAAUGAAGCAGUAUUUUGAAUCCGCCUGGCAGACACAGUUUCGCUUCUGGGGCGAGGACGAGGAUCUCUUCAAGAUUCCAGUGGCAGCACAGGCACCGACACAGCCGGCCUACUACCAAGUUAAGAAGAGAGGAGAUGGUAGGGAGAAGCAGGGAAGGGGUGAGGAGAAGCAGAGGAAGCUAAGCA
RNAcentral lists this unclassified non-coding RNA (226 nucleotides) under Hevea brasiliensis (rubber tree). The record is from RNAcentral. Lineage: Eukaryota; Viridiplantae; Streptophyta; Magnoliopsida; Malpighiales; Euphorbiaceae.